RNAcentral lists this ribosomal RNA (465 nucleotides) under uncultured bacterium. RNAcentral describes it as "partial 16S ribosomal RNA". It matches the Rfam family "Bacterial small subunit ribosomal RNA", at positions 28 to 507 of the family's 1533-position model. The record is from RNAcentral.
GACGAACGCUGGCGGCGUGCUUAACACAUGCAAGUCGAACGGAAAGGCCCUGCUUGCAGGGUACUCGAGUGGCGAACGGGUGAGUAACACGUGGGUGAUCUGCCCUGCACUUCGGGAUAAGCCUGGGAAACUGGGUCUAAUACCGGAUAGGAGCCAUUUUUAGUGUGAUGGUUGGAAAGUUUUUUCGGUGUAGGAUGAGCUCGCGGCCUAUCAGCUUGUUGGUGGGGUAAUGGCCUACCAAGGCGGCGACGGGUAGCCGGCCUGAGAGGGUGGACGGCCACAUUGGGACUGAGAGACGGCCCAGACUCCUACGGGAGGCAGCAGUGGGGAAUAUUGCACAAUGGGCGCAGGCCUGAUGCAGCGACGCCGCGUGGGGGAUGACGGCCUUCGGGUUGUAAACUCCUUUCGCUAGGGACGAAGCUUUUUGUGACGGUACCUAGAUAAGAAGCACCGGCUAACUACGUG